GGAAUUCAUUUGGAUCACUUAGUGGCGGACGGGUGAGUAACGCGUGGGUAACCUGCCUCACACUGGGGGAUAGCAGUUGGAAACGACUGAUAAUACCGCAUAAGCGCACAGUAUCGCAUGGUACAGUGUGAAAAACUCCGGUGGUGUGAGAUGGACCCGCGUCUGAUUAGCUAGUUGGUGAGGUAACGGCCCACCAAGGCGACGAUCAGUAGCCGGCCUGAGAGGGUGUACGGCCACAUUGGGACUGAGACACGGCCCAAACUCCUACGGGAGGCAGCAGUGGGGAAUAUUGGACAAUGGGGGAAACCCUGAUCCAGCGACGCCGCGUGAGUGAAGAAGUAUCUCGGUAUGUAAAGCUCUUNUCAGCAGGGAAGAUAAUGACGUAC
Molecule: ribosomal RNA, 386 nt
Filed under: bacterium MC2009
Lineage: Bacteria
Description: bacterial SSU rRNA
Rfam family: Bacterial small subunit ribosomal RNA
Source: RNAcentral